GACGAACGCUGGCGGCGCGCCUAACACAUGCAAGUCGAACGGAGUUAAUUUUUCUGAAGUUUUCGGAUGGACGAAGGAUUAACUUAGUGGCGAACGGGUGAGUAACGCGUGGGUAACCUGCCUUUUAGAGGGGGACAACAGUUGGAAACGACUGCUAAUACCGCAUAAGACCACAGUACCGCAUGGUACAGUGAUCAAAGGAGCAAUCCGCUAAAAGAUGGGCCCGCGUCUGAUUAGAUAGUUGGUGGGGUAACGGCCUACCAAGUCGACGAUCAGUAGCCGGACUGAGAGGUUGAUCGGCCACAUUGGGACUGAGACACGGCCCAGACUCCUACGGGAGGCAGCAGUUGGGGAAUAUUGGCACAAUGGAGGAAACUCUGAUGCAGCGACGCCGCGUGAGGGAAGAAGGUAUUCG
Molecule: ribosomal RNA, 415 nt
Filed under: uncultured bacterium
Lineage: Bacteria
Description: bacterial SSU rRNA
Rfam family: Bacterial small subunit ribosomal RNA
Source: RNAcentral